RNAcentral lists this long non-coding RNA (2042 nucleotides) under Homo sapiens (human). RNAcentral's name for it is "HSALNT0372133". Lineage: Eukaryota; Metazoa; Chordata; Mammalia; Primates; Hominidae. The record is from RNAcentral.
AGUACUAAAUCAGGAUCAGGACAACCAUUUGAACUGAGUAAACUAACAUAUCUACAUCCACAUCUGUGGGUCUCCUUUGCUUCUGGGCUACUCACUGGCAAAAGUCCUGAGCGGCUCUCACAAUAUCUGCUUUUCCAUCUUCCGGCAAUAGCACCUUCACUGCCAAAUGGCAAUUUAAAACUUGAUCAUCUUUGUCAUUACUAUUUGCAAACUCUGGUGAGCAUUUUGAACAAUCUAGGCCCAGAAGUUCUUGCUGUUGUUUUAAAAUUCCAUCCAUCAAUCUGGAAUUAUUUCUUUUGAAAAUACCUUGGUGGUCGUAGACGCUAAUGUAGGAGAUGCCCACGGCCAUACACCACACCACGAGGCUCUCGAUGUCCGAGAAGCUGGGUUCCUGCUCCACCUCGGUGAUCACCAGGCCCAUGUGCACAGGCAGCUUCUCCAGGGAAGGGCCGUCCGCGCGCCAGCGCACCUGGUGGUGGGCUGCGGGCAGGCACGACCCCCGGCGCGGGUGCGGGUGGUGAUGGCGGUUCCUGCAGACGCCUGGGACUUGCGGAGCGUGAAGCCGAGCGGCGCUAGGACCGCGGCAGAGGCGGCGCGCCGGCACAGUCGCCAGAUCCAGUUCCAAGUGCCGAACCGAACGCGGAGCCAGGAGAUGCAGUCUCACUCUGUGGCCCAGGCUGGAGUGCAGUGGCGUGAUCUUGGCUCACUGCAACCUCCAUCUCCUGAGUUCAAGCAAUUCUCCUGUCUCAGCCUCCUAAAUAGUUGGAAUUACAGGCAAGCACCACCACGCUCAGCUACAGGAAUUUAGCCAAUUCAGAGGAAAUCUUCCCCAUAAUUAUGGAACUUUCUUACAGAUUUUACCAAGUCUGGUCAACCCAAUAAGAAAAAGACUGAAAUAACAACAACAACUUCAACAAAUAAAAAAAAACAGUUAAGCUAAAUAAACAGAUGAUUGCAGAAUUUAUGUGAUUACUGGGUACUCUAAUGGUAAGGAGAAAUUAAGACCAGCUAGUUGUUAAUCUUAACUUUUAGUCAUUAAGGAGAAUUUCCAAGACAAAACUGCAAUCCAGCUGCUUACCUAGGAAUACGGCUUAGGCUGAAAACUUCUAUCGUCUUAGAAAUGGGAAUAAACCUCACACUCACCGUCCCUGUUGGAAGCAAGCUGAAACUCCAAAAAAAAAGUUGCCUGUUGUCCAUCAUCAUGGUGAAGCGGCGUCGUUGUCUGGGAACCCAAUUGGAGACGUUGGAUAUUUUAUCAAGUCUUUGACUGGAAUGACAUUUUUUCAGAAAUAACCAGACUGCUUUGAGGAAUUAAAAUUGACUUUAAGGGCUGAGAAAAACCCCUUGGAAAAACUGGCAUGGUACCCUCUGCAUGCAAUUCCUUUACAAAGCUCCUGACCUGUGUUCUGAAGGCUGGGAAGUCCAAGAUUAAGGCGUCAACAGGUCUUGUGUCUGCUGAGGGCUGUCUCCCUGAUUUGCAGAUGUCUGCUUUCUUGCUGUGUCCUCACAUGGGAAAAAGAGAGAGAAUUUGCUGGUAUUCCUUUUUAUAAGGACACUAACCCCAUUCAUGAGGGUCCCACCCUCAUGACCUCGCCUAAACCUAUAACCUCCAAGGACUCCAUUUCCAAAUACCAGCAACCACAUGUGUGAGCUUAGAAGAGGAUCCUUCCCCAGGUGAGCCUUGAGAUGACCCUGGCCUGUGACUUGAUGGCAGCUUUUGAGAGACUGAGCCAGAGGCCUCCAGGUAAGCCCUUCUCAGAUUCCUGAACCACAGAAACUGUGAGAUAAUCAAUUUUAUUGAUAUCUUGUGGAUAUUGAUAUCCCCAGUUUUAUUGUGGAAUAGAUAACUGCCACACAGCUCCUGACAACUGGCAUCUUGACACAUGUUCUGUGCUCCAGGUCCCAGUAACUGUGCCCAUCCAUUGUUACCACAGGUCACAGUGGCCCUGGCCCUGGGGCAUUAUACUCUCUCUUGGUGUAUUAGUCCAUUCUUAGGCUGCUAAUAAAGAUAUAUCUGAGACUGGGUAAUGUAUAAAGAAAAA